Molecule: ribosomal RNA, 763 nt
Filed under: Leucocoprinus gongylophorus
Lineage: Eukaryota; Fungi; Basidiomycota; Agaricomycetes; Agaricales; Agaricaceae
Description: eukaryotic LSU rRNA
Rfam family: 5.8S ribosomal RNA (bases 277-430)
Source: RNAcentral
ACAAGGUUUCCGUAGGUGAACCUGCGGAAGGAUCAUUAUUGAGUAAAUUUACACACACCUUGAGACGGUUGGUCGGCUUGGCCACUUUUUAAAAGCUUUUAAAAAGGCAGUGUGCGCAACCUUGUCUCUUGGUACUAUUACUUGCUUAUCCUCUUGUGCAUUUCUUGUGGUUUUUCCUCUGUUUUCUGCCCUCUGGGUGGUGAGCAUGGGUGGCCAUGCCCCUAUUUUAUGGACGAGUGUAAUUGAGUGUGCUUGUGAUUAAUAGUAUCUUUAUACAACUUUCAGCAACGGAUCUCUUGGCUCUCGCAUCGAUGAAGAACGCAGCGAAAUGCGAUAAGUAAUGUGAAUUGCAGAAUUCAGUGAAUCAUCGAAUCUUUGAACGCACCUUGCACUCCUUGGUAUUCCGAGGAGUACGCCUGUUUGAGGGUCAUAUGGAAGGUAACGCUACUUGGGAAUUGUGAUGAUUCCCAGGAAGCUGUCUUGAAGUGGGGAGUGCUUGCCUUUCAUGUUAUGUUGUCUGUCAGGUAGUUGAGCCGUUCCUUUUGGGUCCUGUGCACACCCUGUCUGGGCUUUUUAGCAUGGUUGGGUAGGCUUCUCUGAAAUGCAUUUGUGAGUGUCACUUGUGGCUUGCUUUGUAGGCGUCAUAUUUAUUUAUGUGCCGGCGAGUCUGCUUGUGUGGCCUUGCUGUCUAACCAAUGUCUGAAGAGACAUAUUGGUAAGUCUGACCUCAAAUCAGGUGGGACUACCCGCUGAACUUAAGCAU